This 467-nucleotide ribosomal RNA is filed under the name uncultured bacterium. RNAcentral describes it as "bacterial SSU rRNA". It matches the Rfam family "Bacterial small subunit ribosomal RNA", at positions 329 to 792 of the family's 1533-position model. The record is from RNAcentral.
UUCCAGACUCCUACGGGAGGCAGCAGUGAGGAAUAUUGGUCAAUGGGCGCGAGCCUGAACCAGCCAAGUCGCGUGAGGGAUGACGGUCCUACGGAUUGUAAACCUCUUUUGCCGGGGAGCAAGCGUGCGUUCGUGAACGCGCGUCGAGAGUACCCGGAGAAAAAGCAUCGGCUAACUCCGUGCCAGCAGCCGCGGUAAUACGGAGGAUGCGAGCGUUAUCCGGAUUUAUUGGGUUUAAAGGGAGCGUAGAUGGGUUGUUAAGUCAGUUGUGAAAGUUUGCGGCUCAACCGUAAAAUUGCAAUUGAUACUGGCAGCCUUGAGUACAGUUGAGGUAGGCGGAAUUCGUGGUGUAGCGGUGAAAUGCUUAGAUAUCACGAAGAACUCCGAUUGCGAAGGCAGCCUACUAAACUGCCACUGACAUUGAUGCUCGAAAGUGUGGGUAUCAAACAGGAUUAGAUACCCUCGUA